GAAAGAGUCAUCUUUCCUAACAGAUGAUGGCUAUUCAUGGAGAAAAUAUGGGGAAAAAAUAAUCUUGAAUUGUCUAUACCCAAGGAAUUACUUUAGGUGCAUCCACAAGUGCGAUCAAGGCUGCGUGGCAACAAAACAAGUUCAGAGACUUGCAACAGUUUCACCGAAGUAUCGCAUCACUUAUUUUGGCCAUCACACCUGCAGAAAUAUUCUUAAGGAUGAAGAAAUCAUCUCAAC
Molecule: unclassified non-coding RNA, 237 nt
Filed under: Hevea brasiliensis (rubber tree)
Lineage: Eukaryota; Viridiplantae; Streptophyta; Magnoliopsida; Malpighiales; Euphorbiaceae
Source: RNAcentral